This 2133-nucleotide ribosomal RNA is filed under the name Escherichia coli. RNAcentral describes it as "bacterial LSU rRNA". It matches the Rfam family "Bacterial large subunit ribosomal RNA", at positions 1 to 2157 of the family's 2925-position model. Lineage: Bacteria; Pseudomonadati; Pseudomonadota; Gammaproteobacteria; Enterobacterales; Enterobacteriaceae. The record is from RNAcentral.
UUAAGCGACUAAGCGUACACGGUGGAUGCCCUGGCAGUCAGAGGCGAUGAAGGACGUGCUAAUCUGCGAUAAGCGUCGGUAAGGUGAUAUGAACCGUUAUAACCGGCGAUUUCCGAAUGGGGAAACCCAGUGUGUUUCGACACACUAUCAUUAACUGAAUCCAUAGGUUAAUGAGGCGAACCGGGGGAACUGAAACAUCUAAGUACCCCGAGGAAAAGAAAUCAACCGAGAUUCCCCCAGUAGCGGCGAGCGAACGGGGAGCAGCCCAGAGCCUGAAUCAGUGUGUGUGUUAGUGGAAGCGUCUGGAAAGGCGCGCGAUACAGGGUGACAGCCCCGUACACAAAAAUGCACAUGCUGUGAGCUCGAUGAGUAGGGCGGGACACGUGGUAUCCUGUCUGAAUAUGGGGGGACCAUCCUCCAAGGCUAAAUACUCCUGACUGACCGAUAGUGAACCAGUACCGUGAGGGAAAGGCGAAAAGAACCCCGGCGAGGGGAGUGAAAAAGAACCUGAAACCGUGUACGUACAAGCAGUGGGAGCACAGAGCAAUCUGUGUGACUGCGUACCUUUUGUAUAAUGGGUCAGCGACUUAUAUUCUGUAGCAAGGUUAACCGAAUAGGGGAGCCGAAGGGAAACCGAGUCUUAACUGGGCGUUAAGUUGCAGGGUAUAGACCCGAAACCCGGUGAUCUAGCCAUGGGCAGGUUGAAGGUUGGGUAACACUAACUGGAGGACCGAACCGACUAAUGUUGAAAAAUUAGCGGAUGACUUGUGGCUGGGGGUGAAAGGCCAAUCAAACCGGGAGAUAGCUGGUUCUCCCCGAAAGCUAUUUAGGUAGCGCCUCGUGAAUUCAUCUCCGGGGGUAGAGCACUGUUUCGGCAAGGGGGUCAUCCCGACUUACCAACCCGAUGCAAACUGCGAAUACCGGAGAAUGUUAUCACGGGAGACACACGGCGGGUGCUAACGUCCGUCGUGAAGAGGGAAACAACCCAGACCGCCAGCUAAGGUCCCAAAGUCAUGGUUAAGUGGGAAACGAUGUGGGAAGGCCCAGACAGCCAGGAUGUUGGCUUAGAAGCAGCCAUCAUUUAAAGAAAGCGUAAUAGCUCACUGGUCGAGUCGGCCUGCGCGGAAGAUGUAACGGGGCUAAACCAUGCACCGAAGCUGCGGCAGCGACGCUUAUGCGUUGUUGGGUAGGGGAGCGUUCUGUAAGCCUGCGAAGGUGUGCUGUGAGGCAUGCUGGAGGUAUCAGAAGUGCGAAUGCUGACAUAAGUAACGAUAAAGCGGGUGAAAAGCCCGCUCGCCGGAAGACCAAGGGUUCCUGUCCAACGUUAAUCGGGGCAGGGUGAGUCGACCCCUAAGGCGAGGCCGAAAGGCGUAGUCGAUGGGAAACAGGUUAAUAUUCCUGUACUUGGUGUUACUGCGAAGGGGGGACGGAGAAGGCUAUGUUGGCCGGGCGACGGUUGUCCCGGUUUAAGCGUGUAGGCUGGUUUUCCAGGCAAAUCCGGAAAAUCAAGGCUGAGGCGUGAUGACGAGGCACUACGGUGCUGAAGCAACAAAUGCCCUGCUUCCAGGAAAAGCCUCUAAGCAUCAGGUAACAUCAAAUCGUACCCCAAACCGACACAGGUGGUCAGGUAGAGAAUACCAAGGCGCUUGAGAGAACUCGGGUGAAGGAACUAGGCAAAAUGGUGCCGUAACUUCGGGAGAAGGCACGCUGAUAUGUAGGUGAAGUCCCUCGCGGAUGGAGCUGAAAUCAGUCGAAGAUACCAGCUGGCUGCAACUGUUUAUUAAAAACACAGCACUGUGCAAACACGAAAGUGGACGUAUACGGUGUGACGCCUGCCCGGUGCCGGAAGGUUAAUUGAUGGGGUUAGCGGUAACGCGAAGCUCUUGAUCGAAGCCCCGGUAAACGGCGGCCGUAACUAUAACGGUCCUAAGGUAGCGAAAUUCCUUGUCGGGUAAGUUCCGACCUGCACGAAUGGCGUAAUGAUGGCCAGGCUGUCUCCACCCGAGACUCAGUGAAAUUGAACUCGCUGUGAAGAUGCAGUGUACCCGCGGCAAGACGGAAAGACCCCGUGAACCUUUACUAUAGCUUGACACUGAACAUUGAGCCUUGAUGUGUAGGAUAGGUGGGAGGCUU